AUGCAGAGCAGGCUUCUGGGGCCACUGGAUUGGUAAUGUCCUUUCUCCUCUGUCAGGCAAACAGGAGGGACGCAGAGACCACGCUCAGGAGCGGGGCUCCUACUUCUGGGCCUUCAUUACAGAGAGGGUGAGGCUUGGCCCUGGCGGUAAGCUUUGGGUUCACUCAGCCGGUGGGUGGAGACAGAUGGCAGAGUCAGAGGGGAAGCCAAGGACCUGCCCCAAGAACUCCCCAGCUUCUGCAGAGGCCGCGCCAGGAGAGACGGGGCUGGGGAUCGCAGGAGUAGGGAGAGGUCCAGAGAGGAGAGACUCUGUAGAUGAACAAGGGACAGGACUCCUGAGAAGGAGCCAGAACCCUGGGCCACAAGCCGAGAAAUGCAGCUUUGGAAGAUUUGCAAAGAGACCCCACUGAGGGACAAAACGAAGGUUUCUGAGUUGCGGAGAAACCUGGAGGCAGUGUGCUGGAGGAAUAUAAGGAGGCCAGCAUAAGGGUUCCCCGGCUAUGUGGACCCUGGUGGCCAGUGGUCCCGGGUCCCGUGUUGAGAGUGUGGGGGAUCCUUGGUGCUGUAUCAGGCCCCUGCCUUCUUGCAUAGGAGGACCCGUGCUUCCUUCUUUCUUGCUUUCCCCUGAGCCUCAGGCUCCACCAGAGCAAGGGCUGUGCUGUCUUCCUUCUGGUCCGCAGCUUCCACACGCCUCUUCUGUGAUUGUUGGAGGGACCCAGAAAUGAUCGCCUCAGAAAGUCCCCAGGGAGGAUCACAACUGCUGUCCCGAGGGAGGAUCACAGGACCAGGAUGAUUCCCUCUCUGCAGUCCCUCCCUCCUGUGGGGCCUUCCAGAUCCUCGGCUCUUCCUAUCUUCAUCACCCUCCCAGGAAGCAUCCCUGCCCAAGUUGUCCUGUGGAGAAGGAUGCUGACGGUGCUGGAGAAGGCUUUCUGAAAAGAUGAGGAGGGUCUCAGGCUUGCCGAGCACAGUGUGCCUGCAGGGAAUGGGCACACACUUGAACAGUAGGUUCCUGCCUUGGCUUCCCCUCAAGAGUGAACUGUGACCUGUAAGACGAAGCAAACUCUUUUUCCUUCGCCUAAGUCGCUUUUGGUCGCGGUGUUUA
Long non-coding RNA from Peromyscus leucopus (white-footed mouse), 1101 nucleotides. RefSeq lists it as uncharacterized. The record is from RefSeq and is a predicted model, not a curated record. NCBI's taxonomy places the organism in Eukaryota, Metazoa, Chordata, Mammalia, Rodentia, Cricetidae. The transcript has 3 exons.